GACGAACGCUGGCGGCGUGCUUAACACAUGCAAGUCGAACGAUGAAGUUCCUUCGGGAAUGGAUUAGUGGCGAACGGGUGAGGAACACGUGAGAAACCUGCCUUUCAUAUUGGGAUAACUCCGGGAAACCGGGGCUAAAACCGAAUACUCCGUCUCGGUGGCAUCGCUGAGCCGGGAAAAAAUUUUGAUGAAAGAUGGCCUCGGGGCCUAUCAGCUAGUUGGUGAGGUAAUGGCUCACCAAGGCAACGACGGGUAGCCGGCCGGAGAGGGCGACCGGCCACACUGGGACUGAGACACGGCCCAGACUCCUACGGGAGGCAGCAGUGGGGAAUAUUGGGCAAUGGGCGCAAGCCUGACCCAGCGACGCCGCGUGAGGGAUGAAGGCCUUCGGGUUGUAAACCUCUUUCAGUAGGGAAGAAGCGAAAGUGACGGUACCUAAAGAAGAAGCACCGGCUAACUAUGUGCCAGCAGCCGCCGUAA
Molecule: ribosomal RNA, 480 nt
Filed under: uncultured bacterium
Lineage: Bacteria
Description: partial 16S ribosomal RNA
Rfam family: Bacterial small subunit ribosomal RNA
Source: RNAcentral